RNAcentral lists this ribosomal RNA (510 nucleotides) under uncultured Flavobacterium sp. RNAcentral's name for it is "bacterial SSU rRNA". It matches the Rfam family "Bacterial small subunit ribosomal RNA", at positions 9 to 521 of the family's 1533-position model. The record is from RNAcentral. Lineage: Bacteria; Pseudomonadati; Bacteroidota; Flavobacteriia; Flavobacteriales; Flavobacteriaceae.
GAGUUUGAUCUUGGCUCAGGAUGAACGCUAGCGGCAGGCUUAACACAUGCAAGUCGAGGGGUAUAGGUUUUCGGACCUAGAGACCGGCGCACGGGUGCGUAACGCGUAUGCAAUCUGCCUUUUACUGAGGGAUAGCCCAGAGAAAUUUGGAUUAAUACCUCAUAGUAUUAUUGAAUGGCAUCAUUUAAUAAUUAAAGUUCCAACGGUAAAAGAUGAGCAUGCGUCCCAUUAGCUAGAUGGUAAGGUAACGGCUUACCAUGGCGACGAUGGGUAGGGGUCCUGAGAGGGAGAUCCCCCACACUGGUACUGAGACGCGGACCAGACUCCUACGGGAGGCAGCAGUGAGGAAUAUUGGUCAAUGGGCGCAAGCCUGAACCAGCCAUGCCGCGUGCAGGAUGACGGCCCUAUGGGUUGUAAACUGCUUUUGUACGGGAAGAACACUCCUACGUGUAGGAACUUGACGGUACCGUAAGAAUAAGGAUCGGCUAACUCCGUGCCAGCCGCCGCGGU